CACAAAAAGGCUUUGGGGUUGUGAUAUUCGUUACAAUAUCUAGUAUUGAUGUCCUCAAGAAAACUAGCACGAAUGGGAGUACCCAAGUAAGUGGGCCUUCUUUUCCAUCUAAUUUGGGUUGAACAAGCAGGUGUGCUUUCAGUUGCAGUCCUUGACUUGGGCAGGUCUCUUCUUCCCUACCAACCAGAUUUUGGCAGACAAACCAACUAGCCAAGCAUACAACAUUUUUGUUCACUGAGGAGGAGUGGUGCCUUCACCUGAAGACCAUGAAGCCAAAGAUGCACUUCUCUUACACUGUGGAUUCCUGCUAUAUCGUUUUGUUCUGUCUUGCAUGAUUUGACUCUUAGUGUAUUACCUACGCAGAAAGCCACUAAAAA
RNAcentral lists this long non-coding RNA (377 nucleotides) under Numida meleagris (helmeted guineafowl). RNAcentral's name for it is "lncRNA (ENSNMEG00000010583.1)". The record is from RNAcentral. Lineage: Eukaryota; Metazoa; Chordata; Aves; Galliformes; Numididae.